UACGGAGGGGGCUAGCGUUGUUCGGAAUUACUGGGCGUAAAGCGCUCGUAGGCGGCUUUGUAAGUUAGAGGUGAAAGCCCGGGGCUCAACCCCGGAAUUGCCUUUAAGACUGCAUCGCUUGAACGUCGGAGAGGUGAGUGGAAUUCCGAGUGUAGAGGUGAAAUUCGUAGAUAUUCGGAAGAACACCAGUGGCGAAGGCGGCUCACUGGACGACUGUUGACGCUGAGGUGCGAAAGCGUGGGGAGCAAACAGG
RNAcentral lists this ribosomal RNA (253 nucleotides) under uncultured bacterium. Its description in RNAcentral is "partial 16S ribosomal RNA". It matches the Rfam family "Bacterial small subunit ribosomal RNA", at positions 524 to 776 of the family's 1533-position model. The record is from RNAcentral.